Molecule: long non-coding RNA, 1444 nt
Filed under: Homo sapiens (human)
Lineage: Eukaryota; Metazoa; Chordata; Mammalia; Primates; Hominidae
Description: non-protein coding lnc-ZFP42-8:1
Source: RNAcentral
AUUAUAAAAUGCUGAAGUAACAUAUCAUUUUCCCUAAGGCUUACCUCUUUUAUUUGAUUUAAGGAAAAUUUCUUAUUUUCUGUGGGGGCUUAGUGCAUUGAUGUGGAGAAAUUCAUCCUUCUUGGUUUUUGUAUUCUUUUUUUUUUUUUUUUUUGAGACGGAGUUUCACUCUUGUUGCCCAGGCUGGAGUGCAGUGGCGUGGUCUCGGCUCACUGCAACCUGCGCCUCCUGGAUUCAAGCGAUUCUCUUGCCCCAGGUUUUUGUAUUCUUAAAGGCCAAAACAUAUGUCUGGAUGGCCUCAUGCUCAUCUGUGCACACCAUGGCAGAACCCAGUACAUUGUUUUGUUUACAUCCCCCCAAAAUAGUGAAAAAAAUGAAGCACCACCAUUUUUAUCUUGAGCACCUCUUCACUGUUCUUAACGCAUUUGGGCGGUAGCAGAAAAGAUCAUUCCCCAAAACCUUGCUAAGCACGUUGUCCAGGUGGGGAGAGUAUUACUGCUAUCCCCACCAACACUUGUUGUUUUUUGUUUUUUUGUGAAUAGCCAUCCUGACAGAUAUGAGAUGAUGUCUUGUGGCUUUGAUUUGCAUUGAAACAGGUUGCAAUAUACUGUGAGAUCCUUUAGUUUGUAAAACACAUCUGGAUAACCUCGUUUCACUGAGAUGGUAAAUCUUUUUCAGUAGGCUAUCUUUCCACAUGAGGAAGAUUAAGAACUACGUGAAAAUGUUUAAGAGAAUCAAAGCCAAGAUAUAAUAUUUUGUAUUAAAAAGAAUCCCUCUCUACUUGGUACUUUAUGUUAUAAUGUUUAAGAUCAUUUGAGGAAUUACAAUGACAGCCUUUUAACUUUAAUUUAUGUACAAAUUAAUAAUCUGUUUAGAUUAAUGGCUUCUGUUAUUCUCUGUAUCACAGUAACACAAAUGCACAUCUCCACAUACAAUUUUUUCUCAAAGUUUUAUACAAUCAACUGCCUAUUUGACAUCUCCACUGGAAUGUCUAAACAGAAACCUUACGUGUUAGGUGUCCAAAACCCAGUCCUGACUUUCCCCCUAAACCUGCAGCCUUCCCCAUUUCAGUUGAUGACAAGUUCAUUCUUCUCUAUUUAUAGCAGCAUGAUUUAUAAUCCUUUGGGUAUAUACCCAGUAAUGGGAUGGCUGGGUCAAAUGCUAUUUCUAGUUCUAGAUCCUUGAGGAUUCGCCACACUGUCUUCCACAAUGGUUGUACUAGUUUACAGUCCCACCAACAGUGUAAAAGUGUUCCUAUUUCUCCACAUCCUCUCCAGCACCUGUGGUUUCCUGACUUUUUAAUGAUCACCAUUCUAACUGGUGUGAGAUGGUAUCUCAUUGUGGUUUUGAUUUGCAUUUCUCUGAUGGCCAGUGAUGGUGAGCAUUUUUUCAUAUGUCUGUUGGCUGCAUAAAUGUCUUCUUUUGCGAAGUGUCUGUUCAUAUC